Molecule: ribosomal RNA, 253 nt
Filed under: uncultured bacterium
Lineage: Bacteria
Description: partial 16S ribosomal RNA
Rfam family: Bacterial small subunit ribosomal RNA
Source: RNAcentral
UACGUAGGGUGCGAGCGUUAAUCGGAAUUAUUGGGCGUAAAGAGCUCGUAGGCGGUUUGUUGCGUCGGCCGUGAAAACCUGGGGCUUAACCCUGGGCCUGCGGUCGAUACGGGCAGACUUGAGUUCGGUAGGGGAGACUGGAAUUCCUGGUGUAGCGGUGAAAUGCGUAGAUAUCAAGUGGAACACCAGUGGCGAAGGCGAGUCCCUGGACAACUCCUGACACUGAGGCACGAAAGCUAGGGGAGCAAACAGG